UGGGGGAUAUUGCACAAUGGGCGAAAGCCUGAUGCAGCGACGCCGCGUGGGGGAUGAAGGCCUUCGGGUUGUAAACUUCUUUUGCUCUGAACAAGGCAUGCUAAUGGGUGUGUUGAGUGUAGGGGUUGAUUAGCGCCGGCUAACUACGUGCCAGCAGCCGCGGUAAUACGUAGGGCGCGAGCGUUGUCCGGAAUUAUUGGGCGUAAAGGGCUUGUAGGUGGCUGGUUGCGUCUGUCGUGAAAGCUCAUGGCUUAACUGUGGGUUUGCGGUGGGUACGGGCUGGCUUGAGUGCAGUAGGGGAGGCUGGAAUUCCUGGUGUAGCGGUGGAAUACGCAGAUAUCAGGAGGAAUACCGGUGGCGAAGGCGGGUCUCUGGGCUGUUACUGACACUGAGGAGCGAAAGCAUGGGGAGCGAACAGG
Molecule: ribosomal RNA, 419 nt
Filed under: bacterium
Lineage: Bacteria
Description: partial 16S ribosomal RNA
Rfam family: Bacterial small subunit ribosomal RNA
Source: RNAcentral